RNAcentral lists this transfer RNA (94 nucleotides) under Thiotrichales bacterium. RNAcentral describes it as "tRNA-Pro". It matches the Rfam family "tRNA". Rfam says of the family: Transfer RNA (tRNA) molecules are approximately 80 nucleotides in length. Their secondary structure includes four short double-helical elements and three loops (D, anti-codon, and T loops). Lineage: Bacteria; Pseudomonadati; Pseudomonadota; Gammaproteobacteria; Thiotrichales. The record is from RNAcentral.
GGCGGGGUGGCGGAGUGGUUGAACGCGCUGACUUCGGAAGUCAGUAGGCCUGAUUGCCCAGGCCUCGUGGGUUCGAAUCCCAUCCCCGCCGCCA